CCCUUAGACGUUCUGGGCCGCACGCGCGCUACACUGACCAGUGCAACAAGCAUCCGUCCUUGGCCGACAGGCUCGGGCAAUCUUUGAACGCUGGUCGUGAUGGGGAUAGACUUUUGCAAUUUUUGGUCUUCAACGAGGAAUGCCUAGUAAACGCAAGUCAUCAACUUGCAUUGAUUACGUCCCUGCCCUUUGUACACACCGCCCGUCGCACCUACCGAUUGAAUGGUCCGGUGAAGCCUCCGGAUUGGCGCGCACCUCGGUGCCGCCGAGAAGUUGGCUAAACCUUACCAUUUAGAGGAAGGUGAAGUCGUAACA
Molecule: ribosomal RNA, 315 nt
Filed under: uncultured eukaryote
Lineage: Eukaryota
Description: partial 18S ribosomal RNA
Rfam family: Eukaryotic small subunit ribosomal RNA
Source: RNAcentral